GAUGAACGCUGGCGGCGUGCCUAAUACAUGCAAGUCGAGCGAACAGACGAGGAGCUUGCUCCUCUGACGUUAGCGGCGGACGGGUGAGUAACACGUGGAUAACCUACCUAUAAGACUGGGAUAACUUCGGGAAACCGGAGCUAAUACCGGAUAAUAUAUUGAACCGCAUGGUUCAAUAGUGAAAGACGGUUUUGCUGUCACUUAUAGAUGGAUCCGCGCCGCAUUAGCUAGUUGGUAAGGUAACGGCUUACCAAGGCGACGAUGCGUAGCCGACCUGAGAGGGUGAUCGGCCACACUGGAACUGAGACACGGUCCAGACUCCUACGGGAGGCAGCAGUAGGGAAUCUUCCGCAAUGGGCGAAAGCCUGACGGAGCAAUGCCGCGUGAGUGAUGAAGGUCUUCGGAUCGUAAAACUCUGUUAUUAGGGAAGAACAAAUGUGUAAGUAACUAUGGACGUCUUGACGGUACCCAAAGAGAAAGCCACGGCUAACUUCGUG
This 497-nucleotide ribosomal RNA is filed under the name uncultured bacterium. Its description in RNAcentral is "partial 16S ribosomal RNA". It matches the Rfam family "Bacterial small subunit ribosomal RNA", at positions 28 to 507 of the family's 1533-position model. The record is from RNAcentral.